AUUCCUGCUUACUACACAUGAUACAGGACCCUUCUCUGAGGAGGCCACUGGAUCUUGGUAGAGAAGCUGCUGGCCUAUAUAAAUUGGCUUGGGUCCCUUCUUCCCCUUCUCCCUCUGUUAGUUGUUCCUCUACUUUUGUUUGUCCUGUAUCUGCUUCUUGUAAUGAUAGCAAAGUUGUUACAUUGCCUUCUGUGUCUGUUUCUUGUAAUGAUGACAUCCUGUUUGAUAACAAGGCUGUUCCUUUGCCUUCACAUGUGAAUAGUUCCAUUUGUAAUAAUGAUUUUGCAUCUGAUAUGAAUUACAAUUGGCACUUAAGACUUUCUCAUACUCCUUUUGCAAAUAUGAAAUGUAUUUCUGGUCUGUCUUUUUCAUUUGCUUCCAAACAACCUUUUCCAUGUUCAGUCUGUCUUAUGGCCAGACAGACUAGGUUUCCAUUUCCUGAUAUUUCCAUUUGACUUCUAGACCCUUUCAACUGAUUCAUGUUGACACUUGGGAACCUUAUCAUACUCCAACCUCUUCUAGUUGUAAAUAUUUCCUUACAAUUGUUGAUGAUUUUUCAAGGGCAACAUGGACACAUUUAAUGGGCGAAAGUUCCAACCGAUACUCACUUGAGGACAUUUGGUUGCCACUGUCCCAAUCCCUCAAAGGGACAAGUUAAAGCCAAGAGCCAUUCCUUGUGUUUUCAUGGGAUAUCCUUUUGGCAAAAAGGGUUAUAGGUUAUAUGAUCUUGCUUCAAAGAAGUAUUUGGUCUCCAGGGAUGUCAUAUUUCAUGAAUCAUGNNNNNNNNNNNNNNNNNNNNNNNNNNNNNNNNNNNNNNNNNNNNNNNNNNUCUCUAGGGAUGUCAUAUUUCAUGAAUCAUGUUUUCCUUUUAAAUCUGUGUCUUCUUCUGCUCUUCCUUCUGCUUCAUCUUUUCCCUUUGUUCCUUUUGGAGAACAUGAUGAUGAUUCUGAUUCUCCCAUACUCCUCUCUCCUCCCUCUUCUCCAUCAACUGUGCAAGUGCCUUAUCCUGCCUCUGUCUCUACUGAUUCUGCCUUCCCUUCUCCUUUCAAUCCUGACAUCUCACCUCCUGUUUGCCUUCUUCUCCUUCUGUUCCUGCUCCCAAAAAGUCUCAAAGACAGCAUAAUCCUCCUUCAUAUCUUAAGGAUUAUGUCUGUCAACUACCUGC
RNAcentral lists this long non-coding RNA (1165 nucleotides) under Nicotiana benthamiana. RNAcentral's name for it is "long non-coding RNA (NBEN_LNC013422)". The record is from RNAcentral. Lineage: Eukaryota; Viridiplantae; Streptophyta; Magnoliopsida; Solanales; Solanaceae.